Molecule: non-coding RNA, 413 nt
Organism: Cajanus cajan (pigeon pea)
Lineage: Eukaryota; Viridiplantae; Streptophyta; Magnoliopsida; Fabales; Fabaceae
Source: RefSeq, a predicted model, not a curated record
CCAAAAUGGUAGGGAAUAUUGAACCAAGUUGAGGUCUAUAAAAUGGAAAAAUAUGUGAUGAGGAGCAAAACAUUUUGAGGAGAGAAAAAAGAAAGAAAAGGAUCAGCGAUGGGGAGGAAAUCAGUUGUUGGGUUAUGUUUGUUGAUUCUUCUCAUAGCUUCUGAAGAAAUGGUGGUGGUGGAGGGUGAAAAAUGUGAGAGAGCAAGUGUUUUGUUCCCAGAAGGAUGCAUUGAGCCAAUUGGGAGCCAACAGUGUGACUAUCUAUGCAAGAUAGGAGAAGGUUUGCUUGGUGGCACCUGCAAUCAAGAUCAGAUUUGCUAUUGUGCCUGUUGAACCAUUGCUCAAUUCUAUUUUUGCUUUAUUAAUUCUUAAUUUGUAAUUUUGGACCUAUAUAUAUAUUUUUAAUCACGUAA